This 865-nucleotide ribosomal RNA is filed under the name Flavobacteriaceae bacterium ACEMC 7-3. RNAcentral's name for it is "bacterial SSU rRNA". It matches the Rfam family "Bacterial small subunit ribosomal RNA", at positions 44 to 909 of the family's 1533-position model. Lineage: Bacteria; Pseudomonadati; Bacteroidota; Flavobacteriia; Flavobacteriales; Flavobacteriaceae. The record is from RNAcentral.
AGGCUUAACACAUGCAAGUCGAGGGGUAACGGGGUGCUUGCACCGCCGACGACCGGCGCACGGGUGCGUAACGCGUAUACAAUCUACCUUGUAGAGGGGAAUAGCCCAGAGAAAUUUGGAUUAAUGCCCCAUAGUAUUAUUAGAUAGCAUUAUUUGAUAAUUAAACAUUUAUGGCUACAAGAUGAGUAUGCGUUCUAUUAGUUAGUAGGUAAGGUAACGGCUUACCUAGACUUCGAUAGAUAGGGGUCCUGAGAGGGAGAUCCCCCACACUGGUACUGAGACACGGACCAGACUCCUACGGGAGGCAGCAGUGAGGAAUAUUGGACAAUGGGCGAGAGCCUGAUCCAGCCAUGCCGCGUGCAGGAAGACGGCCCUAUGGGUUGUAAACUGCUUUUAUAGAGGAAGAAACACUCCUACGUGUAGGAGCUUGACGGUACUCUACGAAUAAGGAUCGGCUAACUCCGUGCCAGCAGCCGCGGUAAUACGGAGGAUCCAAGCGUUAUCCGGAAUCAUUGGGUUUAAAGGGUCCGUAGGCGGGACAAUCAGUCAGCGGUGAAAGUCUGUGGCUCAACCAUAGAAUUGCCAUUGAUACUGUUGUUCUUGAAUACUUAUGAAGUGGUUGGAAUAUGUAGUGUAGCGGUGAAAUGCAUAGAUAUUACAUAGAACACCGAUUGCGAAGGCAGAUCACUAAUAAGUCAUUGACGCUGAUGGACGAAAGCGUAGGUAGCGAACAGGAUUAGAUACCCUGGUAGUCUACGCCGUAAACGAUGGUUACUAGCUGUUCGGAAGCAAUUCUGAGUGGCUAAGCGAAAGUGAUAAGUAACCCACCUGGGGAGUACGUUCGCAAGAAUGAAACUCAAAGGAA